UAGAUAUGAUCCAGAGUACCACGGGACACGUGAAACCCUGUGGGAAGCAGGAGGGACCACCCUCCAAGGCUAAAUACUACCUAGUGACCGAUAGCGUAUAGUACCGUGAGGGAAAGGUGAAAAGAACCCCGGGAGGGGAGUGAAAUAGAACCUGAAACCCUGCACUUACAAGCUGUGGAAGCACAUUUCUUGUGUGACCGCGUACUUUUUGUAGAACGGGCCAACGAGUUACGUUAAGUAG
This 241-nucleotide ribosomal RNA is filed under the name Clostridioides difficile. RNAcentral describes it as "partial 23S ribosomal RNA". It matches the Rfam family "Bacterial large subunit ribosomal RNA", at positions 397 to 640 of the family's 2925-position model. The record is from RNAcentral. Lineage: Bacteria; Bacillati; Bacillota; Clostridia; Peptostreptococcales; Peptostreptococcaceae.